GAUGAACGCUAGCUACAGGCUUAACACAUGCAAGUCGAGGGGCAGCAUUAUGGUAGCUUGCUAUCAUAGAUGGCGACCGGCGCACGGGUGAGUAACGCGUAUCCAACCUGCCAUUGUCCCGCGCAUAACCCGGUGAAAACCGGACUAAUUCGCGAUGUGUCCCGUUGAGGCAUCGAUUCGGGAUGAAAGUUUUGUCGGACAUUGAUGGGGAUGCGUCUGAUUAGCUUGCCGGCGGGGUAACGGCCCACCGGGGCGACGAUCAGUAGGGGUUCUGAGAGGAAGGUGCCCCACAGUGGAACUGAGACACGGUCCAAACUCCGACGGGAGGCAGCAGGGAGGAAUAUUGGUCAAGGGGCGCGAGCCUGAACCAGCCAAGUAGCGUGCAGGAUGACGGCCCUACGGGUUGUAAACUGCUUUUAUGCGGGGAUAAAGUGGCGCACGUGUGCGUUUUUGCAGGUACCGCAUGAAUAAGGACCGGCUAAUUCCGUGCCAGCAGCCGCCGUAA
RNAcentral lists this ribosomal RNA (505 nucleotides) under uncultured bacterium. RNAcentral describes it as "partial 16S ribosomal RNA". It matches the Rfam family "Bacterial small subunit ribosomal RNA", at positions 28 to 523 of the family's 1533-position model. The record is from RNAcentral.